AGAGUUUGAUUCUGGCUCAGGAUGAACGCUGGCGGCGUGCCUAACACAUGCAAGUCGAGCGAAGCGAUUUCGAGGAAGUUUUCGGAUGGAAUUGGAAUUGACUGAGCGGCGGACGGGUGAGUAACGCGUGGGUAACCUGCCUCAUACAGGGGGAUAACAGUUAGAAAUGACUGCUAAUACCGCAUAAGCGCACAGGACCGCAUGGUCGAGUGUGAAAAACUCCGGUGGUAUGAGAUGGACCCGCGUCUGAUUAGCUGGUUGGUGGGGUAACGGCCUACCAAGGCGACGAUCAGUAGCCGACCUGAGAGGGUGACCGGCCACAUUGGGACUGAGACACGGCCCAA
RNAcentral lists this ribosomal RNA (344 nucleotides) under uncultured bacterium. RNAcentral's name for it is "bacterial SSU rRNA". It matches the Rfam family "Bacterial small subunit ribosomal RNA", at positions 8 to 334 of the family's 1533-position model. The record is from RNAcentral.